Non-coding RNA from Megalopta genalis, 502 nucleotides. NCBI's taxonomy places the organism in Eukaryota, Metazoa, Arthropoda, Insecta, Hymenoptera, Halictidae. The record is from RefSeq and is a predicted model, not a curated record.
UCUCUUGUAAAUUUGGUUAGUUCUGUCUCUUGCUUGUUAGGAAAUAUAAUGUUAGCUUGGUAGGCUUGCACCAUUAAAAGGGAUUCGCACAAUGUCCCAGAUCCCUUCCUAAGUACCUGUAGACAAAUAAUCAUGGUUUAUGAAUGUAAUUUGUUACAUGUUCAUCGAAGGAUAUGAUCAUGAACUUGCCUCAUCUGGUUCCAUAGGGAUUAUAGUGCACAAGGCAAAUAUAAAAGGAUGAACAUAUUUUUGGUACAAAUAAUAUGUUGCAACCGCAUCGGAAACUGAAUAAUUUGCAAGGGUUUCUGGCUCCUCAGAUGCCAAUCUGCACAUUUCUUCAGGAUCUAGUUCCACAGGAUCAUAUCUAAGUUUUGCUUUUGCAACAGCUUUCAAAUUUUGAGAGCCUACAGUAUCCCUAAAAGCGAAUACAUAGAAGAAUGGUUUGAUAUUGAACAGAACACUGUAAGGAAUAGUUAAUAAAAAGAAAGUACCUGUCCAUCAA